CGGGUUGUAAAGCUCUGUCGUGCGGGACGAAAAAAUCGAAGUGAAUAGCUUCGAUCUUGACGGUACCGUGAAAGGAAGCACCGGCUAACUCUGUGC
RNAcentral lists this ribosomal RNA (96 nucleotides) under uncultured bacterium. RNAcentral's name for it is "partial 16S ribosomal RNA". The record is from RNAcentral.